CAGUAGCCACGGUAAUACAGAGGAUGCAAGCGUUAUCCGGAAUGAUUGGGUGUAAAGCGUCUGUAGGUGGCUUUUCAAGUCCGCCAUCAAAUCCCUGGGCUCAACCCUGGACAGGCAGUGGAAACUACCAAGCUGGAGUACGGUAGGGGCAGGGGGAAUUUCCGGUGGAGAGGUGAAAUGCGUUGAGAUUGGAAAGAACACCAACGGUGAAAGCGCUCUGCUGGGCCGACACUGACACUGAGAGACGAAAUCUAGGGGAGCAAAUGGGAUUAGAUACCCGUGUAGUCCCUGUCUCUUAUAC
This 301-nucleotide ribosomal RNA is filed under the name uncultured bacterium. Its description in RNAcentral is "partial 16S ribosomal RNA". It matches the Rfam family "Bacterial small subunit ribosomal RNA", at positions 509 to 807 of the family's 1533-position model. The record is from RNAcentral.